This 253-nucleotide unclassified non-coding RNA is filed under the name uncultured Rhodobacterales bacterium. RNAcentral's name for it is "contains 16S-23S intergenic spacer region". It matches the Rfam family "Bacterial small subunit ribosomal RNA", at positions 524 to 776 of the family's 1533-position model. The record is from RNAcentral. Lineage: Bacteria; Pseudomonadati; Pseudomonadota; Alphaproteobacteria; Rhodobacterales.
GACAGAGGUGGCGAGCGUUGUUCGGAAUUACUGGGCGUAAAGCGCGCGUAGGCGGACUAUUAAGUCAGGGGUGAAAUCCCGGGGCUCAACCCCGGAACUGCCCUUGAUACUGGUAGUCUGGAGUUCUGGAGAGGUGAGUGGAAUUCCGAGUGUAGAGGUGAAAUUCGUAGAUAUUCGGAGGAACACCAGUGGCGAAGGCGGCUCACUGGCUCGAUACUGACGCUGAGGUGCGAAAGCGUGGGGAGCAAACAGG